RNAcentral lists this ribosomal RNA (253 nucleotides) under uncultured bacterium. Its description in RNAcentral is "partial 16S ribosomal RNA". It matches the Rfam family "Bacterial small subunit ribosomal RNA", at positions 524 to 776 of the family's 1533-position model. The record is from RNAcentral.
UACGUAGGGGGCUAGCGUUGUCCGGAAUCAUUGGGCGUAAAGAGCGUGCAGGCGGCCUGGUAAGUCCGCUGUAAAAGUCAAAGGCUCAACCUUUGAAUGUCAGUGGAUACUGCCGGGCUAGAGUCCGGAAGAGGCGAGUGGAAUUCCUGGUGUAGCGGUGGAAUGCGCAGAUAUCAGGAGGAACACCGAUGGCGAAGGCAGCUCGCUGGGACGGUACUGACGCUGAGGCGCGAAAGCGUGGGGAGCGAACAGG